GCCAGUCUCACAGUGGGGGCUGCGUUUACUGCCUGCUCUGAUUUACUGUGAGACAGAUAAGUCAGGGCAAGCAGCAGGGAUUUUUAAAGCUGACUUCUCUUUUUGGCUGAACACCUAUAAACUGUCACUACCCUGUCCUCCCACCCCAAGCCUGUGAGAGGAAGGAAGUGUGGGCUAAGCCAUUUACACAGAGCACUUCAAAGUCUCUGUUAGGACCCCACAUCAGCUCCCAGCCUCAUGCUUACUGGUAGCUGCAGCACAGCGACCCUCCAAGCACAGCUCCGGCAUGGUGUAUGUGUGUGAGGAUGGCAGUGGUUCCUUUUACUGAGGACUGCAAUUUCACUCUAACACAGGCAAGAAGCAUUACACUACAACCAAGAAAAGUAAGAAAUGACCAGUUUUAACUGCCCAAAUGACACCAGAUAAUUGAACUCAUAUUGGAGCCUAUUCAGUCUUCAGGGCCUGCCUGAUGCUCUACUGCAGCCACCACCACCUCCCGGAAA
Molecule: long non-coding RNA, 503 nt
Filed under: Anser brachyrhynchus (Pink-footed goose)
Lineage: Eukaryota; Metazoa; Chordata; Aves; Anseriformes; Anatidae
Description: lncRNA (ENSABRG00000015386.1)
Source: RNAcentral